RNAcentral lists this ribosomal RNA (450 nucleotides) under uncultured bacterium. Its description in RNAcentral is "partial 16S ribosomal RNA". It matches the Rfam family "Bacterial small subunit ribosomal RNA", at positions 354 to 796 of the family's 1533-position model. The record is from RNAcentral.
GUGGGGAAUAUUGGACAAUGGGCGAAAGCCUGAUCCAGCCAUGCCGCGUGUGUGAAGAAGGUCUUCGGAUUGUAAAGCACUUUAAGUUGGGAGGAAGUGCAGUAAGUUAAUACCUUGCUGUUUUGACGUUACCGACAGAAUAAGCACCGGCUAACUUCGUUCCAGCAGCCGCGGUAAUACGAAGGUUGCAAGCGUUAAUCGGAAUUACUGGUCGUAAAGCGCGUGUAGGUGGUUUUGUAAGUUGAAGGUGAAAUCCCCGGGCUCAUACUGGGAACUGCCUCCAAAACUGCAUGACUAGAGUACGGUAGAGAGUAGUGGAAUUGCCAGUGUAGCGGUGAAAUGCGUAGAUAUAGGAAGCAACACCAGUGGCGAAGGCGACUACCUAGACUGAUAAUGACACUGCAGUACGAAAGCGUGGGGAGCAAACAGGAUUAGAUACCCGGGUAAUCC